Long non-coding RNA from Arabidopsis lyrata subsp. lyrata, 723 nucleotides. RefSeq lists it as uncharacterized. The record is from RefSeq and is a predicted model, not a curated record. NCBI's taxonomy places the organism in Eukaryota, Viridiplantae, Streptophyta, Magnoliopsida, Brassicales, Brassicaceae. The transcript is spliced from 2 exons.
GUAAAACCGAUCGGUUAUUCGGUUUUCUCCUUCAUUACCCAUUUUUCAUAGUUCUUCUUCUCCUACACCGGUCUGCUACUCUGUUUUUCAAACAUGCGGCCGCGUGAAACAUAAUGUAUGAGAGAGACGAUAAACAAAAACCCUAAUAUUUAAUAUGGCUGGGCUUUAAACUUGAAAUUAUAAACAAACAAUAAUCGAAAGCCCAACCCAUAUUAUCAUAACUGUUCUUUUAAAACCCACUAAAACAAACUCACAUUUAAAAUUGAUAAAAUACAGCCCAAUACUUAUAAAAUUAAACGAAGCCCAAUGUUUAUGGAAGAAAAGCUUAGUCUUCUUGCAGCCGUUUCUCUUUACAUAAAAUAAAUCCCUAGAUCUAAGCCUCUCCUCUUCCAUUUGUAGCCGAUUUUCCUUUGGCUCUCCUAGAACAAGACACGACUUUGCUUAAUGGGGAUUUGUAGUCCUCCUUCUUGGAACGUUCCUUUGCCAACUGACUAGAGUCAAAUCCUUCAACUUCGAGAACCUCCUCAAGUCUUUAAAGAUUGCACGAUCGGAGCUUCCAAUUUCAGACCGUGUCAUCACCGCCACCGUAGCGUCACCGUCGGCAGCCUUGCAUUUGGUCGAAAAUAUGUUAAUUGGCUUGUUAAUUGUUAUAUGGGCUUGUUUUCAUUUUCGGUUAACCGAAAAUAAACCGAAUAAAUCGAAGUAAAUAAAAUUUCGGGUCAA